This 487-nucleotide ribosomal RNA is filed under the name Spiroplasma endosymbiont of Heliconius timareta. RNAcentral's name for it is "bacterial SSU rRNA". It matches the Rfam family "Bacterial small subunit ribosomal RNA", at positions 1 to 489 of the family's 1533-position model. The record is from RNAcentral. Lineage: Bacteria; Bacillati; Mycoplasmatota; Mollicutes; Entomoplasmatales; Spiroplasmataceae.
UUAGAGUUUGAUCAUGGCUCAGGAUUAACGCUAGCGGCAUGCCUAAUACAUGCAAGUCAAUCGAAAGUAGCAAUACUUUAGUGGCGAACGGGUGAGUAACACGUAUCUAACCUACCAUUUAGUGAGGAAUAACUGUUGGAAACGACAGCUAAUACCGCAUAUGUUAUUUAUUUGCAAUGAUAAAUAAUGAAAGGAGCAUUUACUUCGCUAAUUGAUGGGGAUGCGGCGCAUUAACUAGUUGGUAAGGUAAUGGCUUACCAAGGUAACGAUGCGUAGCCGAUCUGAGAGGAUGAACGGCCACAUUGGGAAUGAGACACGGCCCAAACUUCUACGGAAGGCAGCAGUAGGGAAUUUUUCACAAUGGGCGAAAGCCUGAUGGAGCAAUGCCGCGUGACUGAUGAAGGUCUUCGGAUUGUAAARGUCUGUUGUAAGAGAAGAAGUGCUAGAAUAGGAAAUGAUUUUAGUAUCGACCAUACCUUACCAGAAA